GAGAAAGUAAGCAAGGGCAGACGGUGGAUGCCUUGGCUCUCGGAGGCGACGAAGGACGUGAUAAGCUGCGAAAAGCUCGGGGGAGGCGCAAAUAGCCGUUGAUCCCGGGAUAUCCGAAUGGGGCAACCCGGCAGGCUGAAGGCCUGUCAUCCCGUAAGGGAGGCGAACGUGGGGAACUGAAAAUGAUUCCGUAAGUAGUGGCGAGCGAACACGGAAGAGCCCAAACCCAUGUCGUCUAGGCGACACGGGGGUUGUAGGACCACGACGUGGCAAGAAAGCAGGGAAAUGGAAGCGCUUGGAAAAGCGCGCCAUAGACGGUGAAAGCCCGGUACAUGACUCCCUGCCGAAGCCUAGUGGUAUCCUGAGUAGCGCGGGGCACGAGAAAUCUUGCGUGAAACAGCGGGGCCCAUCCCGUAAGGCUAAAUACUCCCGAGAGACCGAUAGCGAACCAGUACCGUGAGGGAAAGGUGAAAAGAACCCCGAGCAGGGGAGUGAAAUAGACCCUGAACCCGUCUGCCUACAAGCGGUCGGAGCAUCGUCAAGAUGUGACGGCGUGCCUUUUGCAUAAUGAACCUACGAGUUACCUUCCCCGGCAAGGUUAAGUACCUAAGGUACGGAGCCGAAGCGAAAGCGAGUCUGAAGAGGGCGGCCAGUCGGGGGGGGUAGACGCGAAACCGAGUGAUCUACCCUUGGCCAGGUUGAAGGUUGGGUAACACCAACUGGAGGACCGGAUGGGUAAGCGUUGAAAAGCUUUCCAAUGAGCUGAGGGUAGGGGUGAAAGGCUAAUCAAACUCGGAGAUAGCUCGUACUCCCCGAAAUGCAUUUAGGUGCAGCCUCUUUAUAGUAUAUCGUGAGGUAGAGCGACUGAUUGGAUGCGAGGGCUUCACCGCCUAUCAAGUCCAGAUAAACUCCGAAUGCGCGAUAUAUAUUUAAAGGGAGUGAGGGCGCGGGUGCUAAGGUCCGUGUCCGAGAGGAGAAGAAUCCAGACCACCGGCUAAGGCCCCCAAAUGAUCGUUAAGUUGAACUAACGAGGUCGGAUCGCAGAGACAGCUAGGAUGUUGGCUUGGAAGCAGCCAUUCAUUUAAAGAGUGCGUAACAGCUCACUAGUCGAGCGAUCUGGCGUGGAUAAUAAUCGGGCAUAAACGAUCUGCCGAAGCCGUGGAUGUCGCAAGACAUGGUAGGGGAGCAUUCCAUGCGGCGUCGAAGAUGAGGGAUGACCCUUGUUGGAGCGCAUGGAAAAGCAAAUGUAGGUAUGAGUAACGAUAAGGGGGGCGAGAAACCCCCCCGCCGAAAGACCAAGGUUUCCUGAUCAACGCUAAUCGGAUCAGGGUGAGUCGGGACCUAAGGCUAAGCCGAACGGCGACGCCGAUGGAAGAAUGGGUUAAUAUUCCCAUACUGCCUCAUGGAGUGACGUGGAGACGGAGAAGUGACAGUCCUGCCGGCUGACGGAAUAGCCGGUUGAAGGGUGUAGAUAUUGAUUCCCGUAGGCAAAUCCGCGGGGAGAGUCGAACCUGAGAGUAUACCGAGUACUUGUACGAGGUAAUAUGGACGUAACCAUGCUCCCAAGAAAAUCCGCUAAACUUAUCCAUGCGGCACCCGUACCGUAAACGGACACACGUGGUCGGGUUGAGAAUACUGAGGCGCUCGAGUGAUUCACGGUUAAGGAACUAGGCAAAUUGACCCUGUAACUUCGGGAUAAAGGGUCCUCGUCGUAAGGCGAGGCGCAGAGAAUAGGUCCAGGCAACUGUUUAACAAAAACACAUGGCUGUGCUAAAUGGAAACAUGACGUAUACAGCCUGACACCUGCCCGGUGCUGGAAGGUUAAGAGGAGAUGUCAUCGCAAGAGAAGCGUUGAAUUGAAGCCCCAGUAAACGGCGGCCGUAACUNNNNNNNNNNNNNNNNNNNNNNNNNNNNNNNNNNNNNNNNNNNNNNNNNNNGCUCGGUGAAAUUGUAGUAUCGGUGAAGAUGCCGAUUACCCGCGAUGGGACGAAAAGACCCCGUGAACCUUUACUAUAGCUUUACAUUGAAUUUGGGCAGACGAUGUGUAGGAUAGGCCGGAGGCUUUGAAGGGGGUACGCCAGUAUCCUUGGAGCCGCCGUUGAAAUACGGCCCUUCGGUUGUUUGAGUUCUAACUCCCGGACGGGAGGACACUGUAUGGUGGGUAGUUUGACUGGGGUGGUCGCCUCCAAAAGCGUAACGGAGGCUUCUAAAGGUGCCCUCAGACCGAUUGGUAACCGGUCGCAGAGUGUAAUGGCAUAAGGGCGCUUGACUGGGAGAGAUACAACUCGAUCAGGUAGGAAACUAGAGCAUAGUGAUCCGGUGGUUCCGCAUGGAAGGGCCAUCGCUCAAAGGAUAAAAGAAGGUCCCAAGGGUUGGGCUGUUCGCCCAUUAAAGUGGCACGCGAGCUGGGUUCAGAACGUCGUGAGACAGUUCGGUCUCUAUCUAUCGUGGGCGCAGGAGAUUUGAGGGGCUCUGACACUAGUACGAGAGGACCGUGUUGGACGUACCACUGGUUUACCGGUUGUCCCGCCAGGGGCACCGCCGGGUAUCUAAGUACGGA
RNAcentral lists this ribosomal RNA (2560 nucleotides) under Parabacteroides sp. merdae-related_45_40. Its description in RNAcentral is "bacterial LSU rRNA". It matches the Rfam family "Bacterial large subunit ribosomal RNA". The record is from RNAcentral. Lineage: Bacteria; Pseudomonadati; Bacteroidota; Bacteroidia; Bacteroidales; Tannerellaceae.